Molecule: unclassified non-coding RNA, 299 nt
Organism: Ictidomys tridecemlineatus (thirteen-lined ground squirrel)
Lineage: Eukaryota; Metazoa; Chordata; Mammalia; Rodentia; Sciuridae
Gene: 7SK
Rfam family: 7SK RNA
About the family: 7SK was discovered as an abundant small nuclear RNA in the mid-70s but a possible function has only recently been suggested. Two independent studies have found that 7SK RNA binds the CDK9/cyclin T complex (known as elongation factor P-TEFb). P-TEFb activates transcription by phosphorylating the C-terminal domain of RNA polymerase II.
Source: Ensembl
GGAGGUGAGGGCUCUCUGUGUGUGACAUCUGUCAUACCAUUGAUAACCAGGGUUGAUUCAAGUAAUCUGAAUGGCUAGGUGGGUGUCCCCUUCCUUUCUCACCAUUUCUUGGGCAUCCUUCCCAAAGUUGUGUGCUCAAAGAGGAUGACCUUCCCUGGUAGAGAAGGACAUUAUUAGGUCAAGGGUAUAUGAGUAGUUUUGCUCCCCUUCUAGAACUUCUAAACAACUCUCAAGAUAAUGCAUUUUCUCAAUAUUCUUUACUAAAAUACAUUAAUAUACAUUUUGCAUAUUAAUUAUAU